GAUGAAGAACGCAGCGAAAUGCGAUAAGUAAUGCGAAUUGCAGAAUUCAGUGAGUCAUCGAAUCUUUGAACGCACAUUGCGCCCCUUGGCAUUCCGAGGGGCACACCUGUUCGAGCGUCAUUUCACCACUCAAGCCUCGCUUGGUAUUGGGCAACGCGGUCCGCCGCGUGCCUCAAAUCGACCGGCUGGGUCUUCUGUCCCCUAAGCGUUGUGGAAACUAUUCGCUAAAGGGUGUUCGGGAGGCUACGCCGUAAAACAACCCCAUUUCUAAGGUUGACCUCGGAUCAGGUAGGGAUACCCGCUGAACUUAAGCAUAUCAAUAAGCGGAGGA
RNAcentral lists this unclassified non-coding RNA (331 nucleotides) under soil metagenome. Its description in RNAcentral is "partial contains 5.8S ribosomal RNA, internal transcribed spacer 2, and large subunit ribosomal RNA". The stretch from base 1 to 120 matches the Rfam family "5.8S ribosomal RNA", at positions 35 to 154 of the family's 154-position model. The record is from RNAcentral.